This 496-nucleotide ribosomal RNA is filed under the name uncultured bacterium. RNAcentral describes it as "partial 16S ribosomal RNA". It matches the Rfam family "Bacterial small subunit ribosomal RNA", at positions 28 to 506 of the family's 1533-position model. The record is from RNAcentral.
GAUGAACGCUGGCGGCGUGCCUAAUACAUGCAAGUCGAGCGAACAGACGAGGAGCUUGCUCCUCUGACGUUAGCGGCGGACGGGUGAGUAACACGUGGAUAACCUACCUAUAAGACUGGGAUAACUUCGGGAAACCGGAGCUAAUACCGGAUAAUAUAUUGAACCGCAUGGUUCAAUAGUGAAAGACGGUUUUGCUGUCACUUAUAGAUGGAUCCGCGCAGCAUUGGCUAGUUGGUAAGGUAACGGCUUACCAAGGCAACGUUGCGUAGCCGACCUGAGAGGGUGAUCGGCAACCCUGGACCUGAGACACGGCCCGAACUCCUACGGGAGGCAGCAGGAGGGAAUCUUCCGAAAGGGGCGAAAGCCUGACGGAGCAACGCGGCGGGGGUGAGGAAGGUCUUCGGUUCGUAAAACUCUGUUAUUAGGAAAGAACAAAUGUGGAAGUAACUAUGCACGUAUUGACGGUACCUAAGCAGAAAGCCACGGCUAACUACGU